GAUGAACGCUGGCGGCGUGCUUAACACAUGCAAGUCGAACGAAGCACUUUAUUUGAUUUCCUUCGGGACUGAUUAUUUUGUGACUGAGUGGCGGACGGGUGAGUAACGCGUGGGUAACCUGCCUUGUACAGGGGGAUAACAGUUGGAAACGGCUGCUAAUACCGCAUAAGCGCACGGCAUCGCAUGAUGCAGUGUGAAAAACUCCGGUGGCAUAAGAUGGACCCGCGUUGGAUUAGCUAGUUGGUGAGGUAACGGCCCACCAAGGCGACGAUCCAUAGCCGACCUGAGAGGGUGACCGGCCACAUUGGGACUGAGACACGGCCCAAACUCCUACGGGAGGCAGCAGUGGGGAAUAUUGCACAAUGGGCGAAAGCCUGAUGCAGCGACGCCGCGUGAGCGAAGAAGUAUUUCGGUAUGUAAAGCUCUAUCAGCAGGGAAGAUAAUGACGGUACCUGACUAAGAAGCACCGGCUAAAUACGUG
This 481-nucleotide ribosomal RNA is filed under the name uncultured bacterium. RNAcentral's name for it is "partial 16S ribosomal RNA". It matches the Rfam family "Bacterial small subunit ribosomal RNA", at positions 28 to 507 of the family's 1533-position model. The record is from RNAcentral.